RNAcentral lists this ribosomal RNA (406 nucleotides) under uncultured bacterium. RNAcentral's name for it is "partial 16S ribosomal RNA". It matches the Rfam family "Bacterial small subunit ribosomal RNA", at positions 30 to 526 of the family's 1533-position model. The record is from RNAcentral.
AUUGAACGCUGGCGGCAGGCUUAACACAUGCAAGUCGAACGAGUGGCGGACGGGUGAGUAAUGCUUGGGAAUCUGGCUUAUGGAGGGGGAUAACUAUGGGAAACUGUAGCUAAUACCGCGUACCAUCAGAUGAGCCCAAAUGGGAUUAGGUAGUUGGUGGGGUAACGGCUCACCAAGGCGACGAUCCCUAGCUGGUCUGAGAGGAUGACCAUCCACACUGGGACUGAGACACGGCCCAGACUCCUACGGGAGGCAGCAGUGGGGAAUAUUGCGCAAGUGGGGCAACCCUGACGCAGCCAUGCCGCGUGAAUGAAGAAGGCCUUCGGGUUGUAAAGUACUUUCGGUAGCGAGGCGUUACCUGCAGAAGAAGCACCGGCUAACUCCGUGCCAGCAGCCGCGGUAAUUC